This 246-nucleotide ribosomal RNA is filed under the name uncultured bacterium. Its description in RNAcentral is "partial 16S ribosomal RNA". It matches the Rfam family "Bacterial small subunit ribosomal RNA", at positions 15 to 263 of the family's 1533-position model. The record is from RNAcentral.
AAUCCUGGCUCGGGAUGAACGCUGGCGGCGUGCCUAAUACAUGCAAGUCGAACGCGAGCACUUGUGCUCGGGUGGCGAACGGGUGAGUAAUACAUAAGUAACCUGCCCUAGACAGGGGGAUAACUAUUGGAAACGAUAGCUAAGACCGCAUAGGUACGGACACUGCAUGGUGACCGUAUUAAAAGUGCCUCAAAGCACUGGUAGAGGAUGGACUUAUGGCGCAUUAGCUGGUUGGCGGGGUAACGG